UUUCAGCCUGAAGUGUUUCAAGAGUUUGGGGUUAUCUCAGAGAAGACCUCUAAGAUGUGUGCCAUAAAGGAAAUCUUUCAUAAAGUCACGUGGAUCCUCAGGGCUUUCAAUGGGACUCAAGAGGCUGAGAGAUGGAUGUCGCGUGUGUAUGUGUGUAUGUUUGUGUGUGUGAGAGAGAGCGAGAAAGAGGGAAAGAGAGAGACAGAAUGAAGGAGCAACCGUCCUGCCUGCUUCUGAAAUUUUAGGUGUUGUUACUGAGGCUAAAACAAAACAAAAACAACAAAAAAGAAAAAAAUUCUUCCUCCUUUCUCAGACAAACUCAGAUCCAAAUGAGGGCUUGUAACAAAUAUAAGUGGUCUCUAGCAAAAAUUUCUUUUAAAUACUAGAAGUUUUGAACACACGGUAGAUACAGACAAAUUGGUUAAGUGUUUGGUGUCAAAGGUUAAUGAAAAAUAGAAUUUGAAGGAAAGAGCAUUCCUCAUAACUACUGCAGGAACGAGGACUUUGAUUCUAGAUGACGCUCCCUCCAACUUUCUGAAUUCUCUCACUCACCAAUUUAUUCAUGCCACACUCAGGUAUAAUGUGGCUUGUGUCUGUGAGCAUCUGUUGGUCUCUCAAGACACGAGAAUGUGUGAAAAUCGAGCACGUCCUCAAGGAAGGUAGAGUCCAGUGGAGGAGACAUGUAAGUAAGCUCUGCAACUCCUUGAAGCUAAUAUUUGGCUUCUCUUCUGGCAGCUGAAUGGACUUGGGGUCAGAAAAUAGCUAUUUACAGAGUAUCUUCUGUGGACAGCCCUAACCUGGGCACAGAGACAGGAUGUACGUGUACAGUAAAUAACACAAGACAUUGUCUUGUCUUCUAGAAGCUAAGGAGUUGGAUAGAGGAGUUAGAGGCCACAACUGCAGAGUCGUGUAUAAAGAAACCAUGAGAGAAAUGGCAUCAGAAGAGGACAAGCUAUGUGACAUAGGACAUCAGUGAAACCUUGCAGUAGAACGCCAUGCCUGGCACAUGAGAAGAUUCGCCUUGAGCUUACAUCUGUGCCAGUCUUCUUCCAUUUUGUAUGUGGGUCGCCACCACAGCAUGGCUGAUGAACAGAAAAAUUCCCUCUCACUGCUCUGUGGAGAACAACUGGGAGGGGCACAAGAGUGGAAGCAAGGAGAUGAAUCAGGAGAAUAUUGAAGCAGACCCAGUGAGGCAUAACUGUGGCAUGAACUAGGAGGAGACAGAAGAAAUGCAGAAAAAUGGAUGGACUCAAGACACCUCAGACAGAGAAAGCUGACAGGAUUCGCUGCUGUGGGAGGUGAGCGUGGAGAACUGGGUAGGGGUUGCUGGCAUUUGCUGAGAUCAUCUGAAGGCUUAACUGGCUGUUAGCAGGAAACUCAACUCCUUGCUGUCUGUUGGACAGAAGCCUUGAUUCCUAGCCAUGUGCAUCUCUCCAUGGGGCUGCUUGAGUGUCCUCACAAUAUGGCAGCUGGAUUCUUCCAGAAUGACUGAGCCAAGAGGGAGCAAGGCAGCAACCACAAUGCCUCUUAAGACCUGGCCUAGUAAGUGACACACUGCUGGGUCUGCCUUAUGCUAUUUAGUCACACAAACCAACCCUGAUACAGUAUGGAAGGGGAGGACACAAGGGCAUGAACACCAGGAGUUGGAGGUCAUUGGGGGCCAUCUUGGAAGCUGCUUUUCACAAAUGCAUUGCUAGUUGUGCCACUGGUUCAGGGACAGGCUGCAGCUUUUAGGGAGGUGAGUACUUGGGGACAGCAGUGAGGAGCAGACUCAUUGUAUUAGUUCGGGUCCUCCAGGGAACCAGUACCGAUAGGAUGUAUAUAUGUAUGUAGAGAAAGAGAUUUAUCGUA
This 1851-nucleotide long non-coding RNA is filed under the name Equus caballus (horse). RNAcentral describes it as "lncRNA (ENSECAG00000054095.1)". The record is from RNAcentral. Lineage: Eukaryota; Metazoa; Chordata; Mammalia; Perissodactyla; Equidae.